AACCUGUCACUGCUGCUGCCUCUUUUACCAAUGAGCAUGACAGAGAGGCUGCCCCGCUGCGAUGCACCCGUGGAGACGGCUCAGUUAGCUGGCGAUGGAGGAGCCAAUACAAGAGCCUAUUGGAUGAAACACAACUGCACUUUGUUUGAAUUGGUCCUUUGUGAGAUUCUGCAGCAUGCUUUGAAUAAAAAGCAGGUUGUAUGUAAUUUAGUUCUGAUUAUAAAGGAAACAAAUAAUGAGAUAACAGGCUUAAUGAGGAAAUUAGGAUGUCUUUGAAAGAGACAACAUCAUAAAAGAUCCAGAAUACAAAAUCUAUGGACCUUUUUAAUGCACCAUUUUAAAGUAAGGAGGCGUCACUGUCCUAACUUUAAACCUUCUGACAUUGUAACUCCAGGCUUGCAACAAGUUCUGGAGAAGAUGAUAAUUUGGUUUAAUUUCAGUGUCAAAAUGAUCUACAAUAAAAAAUGAGAUUUUGUUGUAAUCCCC
Gasterosteus aculeatus aculeatus (three-spined stickleback) is the source of this 486-nucleotide long non-coding RNA. The record is from Ensembl. Lineage: Eukaryota; Metazoa; Chordata; Actinopteri; Perciformes; Gasterosteidae.